GACGAACGCUGGCGGCGUGCUUAACACAUGCAAGUCGAACGGAAAGGCCCUGCUUUUGUGGGGUGCUCGAGUGGCGAACGGGUGAGUAACACGUGAGUAACCUGCCCUUGACUUUGGGAUAACUUCAGGAAACCGGGGCUAAUACCGGAUAGGAGCUCCUGCUGCAUGGUGGGGGUUGGAAAGUUUCGGCGGUUGGGGAUGGACUCGCGGCUUAUCAGCUUGUUGGUGGGGUAGUGGCUUACCAAGGCUUUGACGGGUAGCCGGCCUGAGAGGGUGACCGGCCACAUUGGGACUGAGAUACGGCCCAGACUCCUACGGGAGGCAGCAGUGGGGAAUAUUGCACAAUGGGCGGAAGCCUGAUGCAGCAACGCCGCGUGCGGGAUGACGGCCUUCGGGUUGUAAACCGCUUUCGCCUGUGACGAAGCGUGAGUGACGGUAAUGGGUAAAGAGGCACCGGCUAACUACGUG
RNAcentral lists this ribosomal RNA (468 nucleotides) under uncultured bacterium. RNAcentral describes it as "partial 16S ribosomal RNA". It matches the Rfam family "Bacterial small subunit ribosomal RNA", at positions 28 to 507 of the family's 1533-position model. The record is from RNAcentral.